RNAcentral lists this ribosomal RNA (506 nucleotides) under uncultured bacterium. Its description in RNAcentral is "partial 16S ribosomal RNA". It matches the Rfam family "Bacterial small subunit ribosomal RNA", at positions 28 to 523 of the family's 1533-position model. The record is from RNAcentral.
GAUGAACGCUAGCUACAGGCUUAACACAUGCAAGUCGAGGGGUAACGAGAGGAAAGCUUGCUUUCCUUGUCGACGACCGGCGCACGGGUGAGUAACGAGUAUCCAACCUGCCCCCAACUAGGGAAUAACCUUGCGAAAGUAAGACUAAUACCCUAUAAUUUCCUCAGAUGUCAUCUGACGAGGAAUAAAGAUUUAUCGGUUGUGGAUGGGGAUGCGUCUGAUUAGCUUGUUGGCGGGGUAACGGCCCACCAAGGCAACGAUCAGUAGGGGUUCUGAGAGGAAGGUCCCCCACAUUGGAACUGAGACACGGUCCAAACUCCUACGGGAGGCAGCAGUGAGGAAUAUUGGUCAAUGGGCGGAAGCCUGAACCAGCCAAGUAGCGUGCAGGAUGACGGCCCUAUGGGUUGUAAACUGCUUUUACACAGGAAUAAAGUUAGCCACGUGUGGUUAUUUGUAGGUACUGUAUGAAUAAGGACCGGCUAAUUCCGUGCCAGCAGCCGCAGUAA